RNAcentral lists this ribosomal RNA (443 nucleotides) under uncultured bacterium. RNAcentral describes it as "partial 16S ribosomal RNA". It matches the Rfam family "Bacterial small subunit ribosomal RNA", at positions 338 to 795 of the family's 1533-position model. The record is from RNAcentral.
CCUACGGUAGGCAGCAGUGGGGAAUAUUGGGCAAUGGAGGCAACUCUGACCCAGCAACGCCGCGUGAAUGAUGAAGGUCUUCGGAUUGUAAAGUUCUUUUCUAAGGGAAGAAGAAAGUGACGGUACCUUAGUCCUAAGCCUCGGCUAACUUCGUGCCCGCAGCCGCUGUAAUACGUAGGAGGCAAGCGUUAUCCGGAAUGACUGGGCGUAAAGGGUGCGUAGGUGGUUUGACAAGUUAGUAGCGCCACGCCGGAGAGCAACUUCGGAACUACUACUAAAACUGUUGGACUUGAGUGCAGGAGGGGCAAUCGGAAUUCCUGGUGUAGCGGUGGAAUGCGUAGAUAUUAGGAGGAACACCAGUGGCGAAGGCGGAUUGCUAGACUGUAACUGACACUGAGGCACGAAAGCGUGGGGAGCAAACAGGAUUAGAUACCCGAGUAGUC